This 23-nucleotide ribosomal RNA is filed under the name Coprosma quadrifida. The record is from RNAcentral. RNAcentral also lists the same sequence under 2 other names. Lineage: Eukaryota; Viridiplantae; Streptophyta; Magnoliopsida; Gentianales; Rubiaceae.
UGGGAAGUCCUUGUGUUGCACCC